RNAcentral lists this ribosomal RNA (288 nucleotides) under uncultured bacterium. RNAcentral describes it as "partial 16S ribosomal RNA". It matches the Rfam family "Bacterial small subunit ribosomal RNA", at positions 775 to 1067 of the family's 1533-position model. The record is from RNAcentral.
GGAUUAGAUACCCUGGUAGUCCACGCUGUAAACGAUGAUCACUAGAUGUUCGGACUUCGGUCUGAGUGUCCAAGCGAAAGCGAUAAGUGAUCCACCUGGGGAGUACGUUCGCAAGAAUGAAACUCAAAGGAAUUGACGGGGGCCCGCACAAGCGGUGGAGCAUGUGGUUUAAUUCGAUGAUACGCGAGGAACCUUACCUGGGCUACAAUGCCUCUGACAGACGCCGAAAGGUGUUUUUCCUUCGGGACAGAGUGCAAGGUGCUGCAUGGUCGUCGUCAGCUCGUGUUG